RNAcentral lists this ribosomal RNA (492 nucleotides) under uncultured bacterium. RNAcentral describes it as "partial 16S ribosomal RNA". It matches the Rfam family "Bacterial small subunit ribosomal RNA", at positions 29 to 507 of the family's 1533-position model. The record is from RNAcentral.
AGUGAACGCUGGCGGUAGACCUAACACAUGCAAGUCGAACGGCAGCACAGUAAGAGCUUGCUCUUACGGGUGGCGAGUGGCGGACGGGUGAGGAAUACAUCGGAAUCUACUUUUUCGUGGGGGAUAACGUAGGGAAACUUACGCUAAUACCGCAUACGACCUACGGGUGAAAGCAGGGGAUCUUCGGACCUUGCGCGAUUGAAUGAGCCGAUGUCGGAUUAGCUAGUUGGCGGGGUAAAGGCCCACCAAGGCGACGAUCCGUAGCUGGUCUGAGAGGAUGAUCAGCCACACUGGAACUGAGACACGGUCCAGACUCCUACGGGGGGCAGCAGUGGGGAAUAUUGGACAAUGGGCGCAAGCCUGAUCCAGCCAUACCGCGUGGGUGAAGAAGGCCUUCGGGUUGUAAAGCCCUUUUGUUGGGAAAGAAAAGCAGCAGGUUAAUACCCCGCUGUUCUGACGGUACCCAAAGAAUAAGCACCGGCUAACUUCGUG